UCUUGAUUAUACCUAAGACAGUAGGUGGCUUAGCCUUAAUUUCCUACCGAGGACAACUUGAAUGAAUCAGGUCCCUCUAUGUCUAGGUGACAUGGAGUUUUUUUAUUGA
This 109-nucleotide small RNA is filed under the name uncultured Enterococcus sp. RNAcentral describes it as "Ribosomal protein L10 leader". It matches the Rfam family "Ribosomal protein L10 leader", at positions 13 to 134 of the family's 138-position model. From Rfam's summary of the family: This family is a putative r-protein leader autoregulatory structure found in B. subtilis and other low-GC Gram-positive bacteria. It is located in the 5' untranslated regions of mRNAs encoding ribosomal proteins L10 and L12 (rplJ-rplL). Lineage: Bacteria; Bacillati; Bacillota; Bacilli; Lactobacillales; Enterococcaceae. The record is from RNAcentral.